This is an RNA transcript of Marmota monax (woodchuck), 9222 nucleotides long. It is a transcript of the gene named protein O-fucosyltransferase 1, with no coding region annotated. The record is from RefSeq and is a predicted model, not a curated record. NCBI's taxonomy places the organism in Eukaryota, Metazoa, Chordata, Mammalia, Rodentia, Sciuridae. The transcript has 8 exons.
GCGCCCCUCCUUUCCUCCCCUCCUCUUCUCCCUGGCGCGCGCAGGCUCUGGAGCCGACAUGGGCGCCGCCGCGCGGGCGCUGCGGCCUCUGGCACUGCGUGCGUCUGUGCUGCUACUGCUUCUGCCUCUCCCCGGGCUGCCCACGGGCUCCUGGGACCCGGCCGGUUACCUGCUCUACUGCCCCUGCAUGGGGCGCUUUGGGAACCAGGCUGAUCACUUCUUGGGCUCCCUGGCAUUUGCAAAGUUGUUGAACCGCACCUUGGCUGUACCUCCGUGGAUUGAGUACCAGCAUCACAAACCUCCCUUCACCAAUCUCCAUGUGUCCUACCAGAAGUACUUCAAGCUGGAGCCCCUCCAGGCUUACCAUCGGGUCAUCAGCCUGGAGGACUUCAUGGAGAAGCUGGCUCCCACCCACUGGCCCCCCGAGAAGCGGGUGGCAUACUGCUUUGAGGUGGCAGCACAGCGAAGCCCUGAUAAGAAGACAUGCCCCAUGAAGGAAGGAAACCCCUUUGGCCCAUUCUGGGAUCAGUUUCAUGUGAGUUUCAAUAAGUCGGAACUUUUUACAGGCAUUUCCUUCAGCGCUUCCUACAAAGAACAAUGGAUUCAGAGAUUUUCAGCAAAGGAACAUCCUGUGCUCGCCCUGCCAGGGGCCCCAGCCCAGUUCCCUGUCCUGGAGGAACACAGGUCACUCCAGAAGUACGUGGUGUGGUCAGAUGAGAUGGUGAAGAUGGGAGAGGCCCAGAUCCGUGCCCACCUCAUCCGGCCCUAUGUGGGCAUUCAUCUGCGCAUUGGCUCUGACUGGAAGAACGCAUGCGCCAUGCUGAAGGACGGUACUGCAGGCUCGCACUUCAUGGCCUCUCCACAGUGUGUGGGCUACAGCCGCAGUACAGCGGCCCCCCUGACCAUGACCAUGUGCCUGCCAGACCUGAAGGAAAUCAGGCGGGCCGUGAAGCUCUGGGUGAGCGCGCUGAACGCCCGGUCAGUCUACAUUGCCACUGACUCUGAGAGUUAUGUGCCCGAGAUCCAGCAGCUUUUCAAAGAGAAGGUGAAGGUGGUGAGUCUGCAGCCUGAGGUGGCCCAGAUCGACCUGUACAUCCUCGGCAGAGCUGACCACUUUAUUGGCAACUGUGUCUCCUCCUUCACUGCCUUUGUGAAGCGGGAGCGAGACCUCCAGGGAAAGCAGUCGUCCUUCUUCGGCAUGGACAGGCCCCCUCAGCUGCGGGAUGAAUUCUGAUCCUGGCUGGAGAACGUCACCAGUCACAGCUGAUCCUUUCAGCCAGGCCUGGCAGCCAGAGGUGCUCUCAGGACUGCAAGCUCCUCUUCUUGCCUGCCAGAGCUGGAGAACCGUAUCAGGGAGGCAUCUCCCGCCUCUGUGUUUCCCCAUUCUCUGGGAAUUUCUCACAAAGGUGCUACUGCAGUGUCCAGAGCUUCCUUGGAGUGCUGCUGGAUAAGGCAAAUUCCAAGAGCCACCCUUGCCUGAAGAAUCCAAGUGACUGGUGGGUAGUGUCCAGGAAUCUGCAUUUUUUUUUUUUUUUUUUUUUUGGCAAGCACCUAUAGGUGGGUUUAAUGCCAGUGGCUCAGGGCCUCUUAAAUUGUGGUCAUAGGACCCGCAGGUGGCCUCACUUGGGGGAACUUGUUAGACAUGCUGAAUCCCGUGGGGCUAUAGGUUAGCCCAGUGACAGAGCUUCUGCCCAGUGUUCAUGAAGCUUUGAAUUUGAUUCCCAGAACCAUAAAAAGAAAGAAAAAUAAGACAUAUGGAAUCCCAGACCUGCUAAAGCAGUCUCCCAAGGAGGCAGGUCAGAAGCAACAUUGGUGGGUAGAGGAUCUCAGCUCCUCAGCCACCCGACAGUACAGAAGAACCCUAGCAUGCCCCCCAGGUCCCACCAAGUGCACCUUAAGGAGGUGACUUAAGAGUUGCGGGAACUGAAUCCACUAAUGUCUCUCCAUAUACAUGAGGGUGGAAAUAUGCAACUAGACCAAAUCUUUACAGAAGUAAACAAAGGCAAUUAAAAUUUUUUUUUUAAAGAGAGAGAAUUUUAAUAUUUAUUUUUUAGUUUUCGGCGGACACAACAUCUUUGUUUGUAUGUGGUGCUGGGGUUCGAACCCGGGCCGCACGCAUGCCAGGCGAGCGCGCUACCGCUUGAGCCACAUCCCCAGCCCCAAUUAAAAUUUUUAUAAGUAAGUACCAGUAGAGAUGGGUUAUGAUAAGGCAGAAAUGGAUAAGGCUGGGAAACAAUGUCCUGAAGCAUCAUAGCUGCUCUAGGGGGUAGGAGAGGAGAGAAAGGGCAGAGGGAGGAAGGAAGGAAGAAUGGAGCUCUCAUUUCCAUUUUCUGUUCACCUCAAAGAAGCUUGGUGCAGCCUGGCGGGCGCACACCGUAACCCCAGUGGCUCUGGAGGCCGGAGCAUGGCAAGUCUCGGCCAGUCUCAGCAACUCAGUGAGUCCCUAAGUGCUUAGCAAGACCCUGUUUGAAAAUAUAAAAAAGGACUCGGCAUGUGGCUCAGUGGCUAAGUGCCCUUGGGUUCAAGUCCCAACACCAAAAAAAAAAAAAAAGGCAGCUUAGUGCAUAAUAGUAGUAACAGCAAUAAUAAUAAGGUUUCACUCUCCGUCCUCUCCCCAGCUCGCUUUCUAUCCUUAGUGGAGUUGACAGAAAAAACUCCUUGCCUGAAGGCAAAUCCUGCGCUGGAUUAUGUUGUCAGAAUUAAUUCAGAUUCUCACUUGAAACCUGGUUUAUUCCAGGGUUGCGACCUUUCCCUGGAAAUGACACUAUUUAACUGGCAAGCAGGUUUGCUUUGUUUUUACAUCUAAUCCUUUAUUGAUCGCCAGCCCAGGAUGCCAAGUAAACAGUGAGGGGAAGACACAAAAGGCAUUUCCCAGAAACCUCCCUCCCACGGCGUGACUCAGCCUUGUGGAGGAACAAUACCCACCUGGGGUGGCAGCCUGGGGUGGACCUCAGCCUCGGAAAGUCUGCCUCUAAAUAAAACCGGCGCCACAUCAAGCCAUUGACAUUGAUUCUCUUGGAGUGUGGGGGCGUUUUCAAGUCAGAUGGUGUCCAAGAUGGUUCCGGAGGUACUGGGUACAAGAAGGAGAGAACUAGCUUUCCAGUGUUUUCCCAUCCUGCCAACAUUCCCAUAGAGAAAGUCCCAGUUCAGUGCCAGUGUCAUUAGCUCCUGUCUGUGCUCACUAGUACUUGGAGAGAGCAGAGAGCUCGGACUCAGAUGGCCUUAGCCAGCUACAAGUCACUAACAUUGUCUUUGUUAUAUUUAAUUUUUGCUACUUGGGAUUUUUCUGUUUUUUGUUUUUUUUUUUCCACUUACAGAUGUGGUUCAAAGUUGGCUUUUAAGAAAUUUAUUUCAUUUUAAAAAGUAUAACGGGCUCUGAGAAAAAUAUUACAUAAACCAUGGUUAUGAGGUUUGGGCAAGUAGCUCCGUGACAGUGGGCCACUUAGCAUGCACGAGGCCCUGGGUUCAGUCUUCACCAAAAAAAAAAAAAAAAAAAGUGUGGAAUGAAUGAAGAAGGUAAGAUUGGGAGAAGCUCGAUCAGCCACAUUUUUGUUUUGUUUUAUUUUAUUUAUUUUAUUUUAUUUUAUAGUGUUGGGGAUAAAACCCAGAGCUUUGCACAUACUAGACAAAUGCUGUACCAUUGAGCGCUACCAGCAACUCAUCCUUGUGCCCUAAAGACACCUCCCAGUAAGAGAUGGGAGAGGCACAUGGAAGUGACGAGGAGAGAGACUGCCGUCCACUCAAACUCUACUGGCUGCACACUGCCUGCGAUUGCCUAGACCAUCCCCUCUAACGUUUCCUAAUGCCAAGUCAGGUGGAGUGGCAUGUGCCUGUAGUCCCAGCAACUUGGGAGUCUGAAGCAGGGGAUCCCAAGUUUAAGGCCAGCCUAGGCAACUUACUGAGGCCCUGUCUCAAAAUAGUAAAGUUGGUUAUGUAACUCAAUGGUAGAACACCCCUGGGUUUUGUCCUGGGUUCCAUCUGAAGGACAAAAGAAAAAAUGUAAUCCUAUGAAAUUUUCCUCUCGGAGUUCCACAGCACCUUUAAAUUGUAAUAAUAACUGACAUAAUUAUUGUCAUUUAUCAUGUGCCAAACUGUGUCCUAAGCCCUCCGCAUAAACUAACUCAUCUGAUUCACAGAUGUUGCUUUUCUUAUUAUCUCCAUUUUACAGAUAAGGGCAUGGAGGCACAGAGAGGUAAAGCAACUAGCCUACAAUCACACAGCUUGAGUAGUAGACCCAGGACUCAAAACCUGCAAGCAUGACACAUAGUCAGUGCCCUUAGCCUCUGUACUGUGAUGCUUCUUAUGUCACUUAUCAGAAGACUAGGCUUGUUUUCCCAGCUGACCAGAGGUCCUCCCCAAGAACAGGACGGUGCCUGACGUGUCUCCCUGUAUCUGCUCUUCACCAGUGCUUGGCUUAUAAGUGUCCUGUACUUAAGUGUUGAAUGAAUAUGCAGAAAGUGACCUGAGCAGGUGAUCUGACUUCUGGCAUCUUGGCGAAGGUAGAGUUGAAUGGAUUGAUAGGCAUAUUUUAACAGCUGCACCUGGGGGAGGAGAAAAGGCAUUAGAGACUCAGAACCAAGGUGCAAAGAGCUGAGGUAUGGAGGCCCCGAGCAUGGACUUGGGGAGAUGGAGCCCCAAGAGGAAGGGACACAAGGAGAUCUGAGCAGCUCAUAAAGGGCUAGAACAUCAAACUAAAGUCUGACCCUCCCCAAUGGGAGCCAGACAGAGAUUGUCUCUGGGCUGGGGCAAAGCUGGGUGAAGAUGGGAGCAGGGGAUUUUCAGGGCUCACUAAGGGGUCACCUGAGCCAAGGAUAAGUGAAAAGGUCCCUGUAAGCACCCCUCAAGGGAAGUGCCAAAAGGCAGGGCCCUGGUUUUAUAAAUUAGUUUAACAUACUAUGUCUGUUGAUUGAAAAAUGUCUAGCUUCCUUCUCCCUGGAGGCAAACAUAGUACUAGCAAUUUUGUGAACGCCUUCCAGAAAUUUCUCUUGCCAUACAUAGGCAUACAUGUGUGUGUAUAAAACAUAUCUGUGUAUGUGUGCAUAUAUAAAACGUACAUAUAUGUGUAUAUAUAUAUAUAUAUAUAUAUAUAUAUAUAUAUACACACACACACAUAUAAUUGUUUUCCAUUCCCUUUUUAUCUGCCACAUAAUAUUCCACAACAUGAUUGGACUAUAAUGCCUUUAAUUUACCAUGAGGCCUUAAAGUUUGCUGUUUUUAGACACCAUGAACAAAGGAUAUGUUUCUGGAAGUGGUGAGUCAUAAUGGUGUGUAAGUUUAUAAUUUGACAGACUUGGCCAUCUUGUUCCCCAGAGAGGUUGUGCACUGCGUCCUUCCCAGUAUAGUGCCCAUUACCUAUGCCAUCUGGUUUCACUGGCUUUUCAGGUGGUUUAGAAUGGAGCUGCUGGUCUUGACCUGACUUCUGUCCUGGGGCUGCUAUGUGCUGACCAUCCAUAUCCUGGGAGGCUUGGGAGGAUCAAAUCCCAGUUCAGCCACUAGCUGAUGUGUGACUCAAGUCAUUAGCAUGUCUGAACCUCUGCAUUUUGUGUCUGUAAGAUGUAGAUAAUGUCUUAAAGUCGAGACCUAAAGUAUUGAAGUAUUUUCUUUCUGCUCAGUUUGUUUUCUUUUCUUUCUUUUUUUUUUUUUCUUUUUUCUUUUUGGUGCUAAGGAAUAAACCCAGGGGGUGCUUAACCACUGAGCAACAUCCCCAGCCCUUUUAUUUUUUAGUUUGAGACAAGGUCUCUCUAAAUUGCUUAGAGCCUCACUAAGUUAUCAAGGCUGGCCUUGAACUUGAGAUCCUCCUGCUUCAGCCUCCUGACUUGCUGGGACUGCAGGCUGUGCUACCUCACCCCACUUGAAAUUAUAUUUAUUUUUAAUUGACACAUUAAAGCAUAAAAUUUUGUUUUUAUUAAUAUCUGCCCCAAGUUGUUAAACCUGCGUAUGAUGUGACUGUAUUCUUUGUAGGGUUGUUGUGAGAAUUUGAGGCACUGAUACCCUCAUGGCUUCUGAUACAUAGUAACUCUGUGAACUUGCAAAGCCUUCUGAGCCUCAGUGUCUUCCGUGUGAACGUUGGUGGCACAGGGCUGCCAGAGGCUUGCAAAGUGCAUGAAAAUGCUCUGUAAACCCAAGGAGGGCCUGAGGGAGGGGGGUUAAGCUUUAUUAGAGCUCUGGCAGCCCUGCAAGGCGCUGCUUGCUCUAAGCUUGCUUUGUACCUCCCCCUGGCUUUUCAUUGUUGUGUUUGCUCAGAGUGAGGCCAUCUUCUCCCAGCUGUUGCCAGGGAGCAAACAGGAACCCUGAACACUUAGCCUGCUGGGUAAAUGGGCCCCGCCUCCAGUCUCCAGAGGAUUAGACUUCUUAGGAGAAGGACUUAGAGGGAGCCAAGAACUCACACCAGUAAUGCAGAGGGGAGGGGACUCUGAGAGUCAGAGAACUGCCUAUUUGUGGCAGAUUCUGGUCCACUCUGAACUCUUGUCUCUUCAUCUGUAACAUGAGGGCUUUGGACUGGGUGACCCUUUGAAAAGGGACUAGGCUUGGUGUCCAAAGACUUGUGUGUAAGGCCUACAUUAACUAUUAAUCCAGUGUGUAACUGGUGGAACUUGGUGUUCUCAUCUGUAAAAUGAGAAUACAAAUUGAAUUACGGAGCCAUUAUGAAUUAAUGGCUUGCUUUCUGGUGAGGAAGAAGGAGACAAGAGCCAGGUGCAGUGGCGCACGUCUGUAAUCUCAGUGGCUAUGGAGGCUGAGGCAGAAGGAUCAGGAGUUCAAAGCCAGCCUCAGCAACUCAGUGAGACCCUGUCUCUAAAUAAAAUGCAAAAUAGGGCUGGGGAUGUGGCCCAGCGGUUGAGUGUCCCUGAGUUCAAUCCCUGGUACUAAAAAAAAAUAAAAUAAAAAACUAAUGUGUUAGGUGGUCAUGAAGAGUAAAGAGAGUGAAGUCCCAUGAAAGAGAGUUACUGGGGCGGUCAGGCUUAAGCAGAGGCUUGAAGGUGAGCGAGCGAGCCCUGGGGCCAUCUGGAGAAUAGGGAGGAACUGGAUGGAGGUGAGGCCUGGGAAAAACAGAGGCUGGAUUGUGGUAGACCUCACCUUUGGUUUCGUGUGAGUGACCUUAAGUCCAUUGGAAGAGGAAUGGUCUAUCUAACUUGGCUUUUUUUUUUUUUUUGGGGGGGGGUACUAAGUUGUUGAGGGUCUUGCUACAUUGCUGAAGCUGUCCCCUAACUUGUGAUCCUCCUUCCUCAACCUCCCAAAUAGCUGGGAUUACAGGUGUGCGCCACCAUGCCUUGCUUAAUUUUUCUGUCAGCUGUCUAUUUCUGCAUAAGUAAUAACCCCUCCAUGUGGUGUCUUAAAACAACAACAAUCAAUAUCACAGUUUCUGUGGGAAACUCCUGGGUAACUUGGUUGGGCAGUUCUGGCUCCGGGUUGGGGGGGCGGGGCAGAGGGGUCUCUCAGAGGUUGUGAUCAAUCCUUGCCAAGUCUACAGCCAGCUGAAGGCCUGGCUGGGGCUGGAGGCCCCAUUUCCAAGGUAGGUCACCCCUAUGGCUAGCAAGUUGGGACUGGCCACUGUGGGAUAUCCUCAGCUCCCCUCCUUGGGGUCGCUCAAGGGUCCUUGCCACACCGUGGCUGACUUCCCCAGAAUGAGUGGUUCAAGCGGCCAAUACAGAAGCUGCAAUGUCUUUCACCCAGCUUUGGAGGUCAUGAACUAUCACUUCCUUCAUUUUUACAGGUCACUCAGGCUAGCCCUAUUGAAAGUGAGAAGGGACACAGGACAAAACUAUUAGCAGAAGGCCAGGAGCAUUAUGGACCCUCCUUGAAGCUCGCUACCACCAGGUUUCUGUUUGUUUAAAUAGCACUUAGUACAAUUUACCUUCUUCCUCCGUUACUUUUUUCAUGUGUAGUUCUAUGAAUUCUCACAUGUACAUCUCUAUAGCCACCACCACAAACAGGACACAGAACCGUCCAUCAGCCCUCAAAAAGCCCUUGCAUUUCCCUUUGUAGUGACACGUUCCUCCCAUCUCAACCUGGAGCAACCACAGAUCCUUCUCUAGUUUUGACUUUUAGAGAAUGUCACCCAAAUGAAAUCAUAUAGUGUUUUUUGGUACUAGGGAUUGAAUCCAGGUAUCUCCCCAGCUUUCUUUUUUUGAGACAGUCUCACUAAAUUGAUUAGGGCCUUACUAAAUUUCUGAGGCUGGCCUUGAACUUGUGAUCCUCCUGCCUCAUCCUAAGUUGCUGAAAUUACAGGUGUGUGCCAUCACACUCAGCAGUAUGUAACCUUUUGAAACUGACUCUUUCACUUACAAUAAUCCUUUGAGAUUCAUUUAAGUUACUGCAGGAAUUAAUAAAUCAUUCCUUUUCUUUUUUCCUGUUUUUUUUUUUUUUUGGCGGGGGGGGACCAUGAAUUGAACUCAGGGCACUCGACCACUGAGCCACAUCAUCAACCCUGUUUUGUAUUUUAUUUGGAGACAGGGUCUCCCUGAGUUGCUUAGCACCUGGCCAUUGCUGAGGCUGGCUUUGAACUUGUGAUCCUCCUGUCUCAACCUCCAGAGCUGCUUGGAUUAUAGGUGUGUGCCACCGCGCCUGGCUCAUUCCUUUUCGUUCUAAACUAUGUUCCACUGUAUAGAUCUACUGGUUUGGGGGAAUUAUGACGAGUGUGUGUCUUAGUCUAUUCAGGAUGCUGUAACAAAGUGCCGUAGACUGAUUGGUUUAUAAAUGACAGAAAUGUAUUUAUUAUAAUUCUAGAGGCUGUACCAACCAACUGAGUGUCUGGUGAAGGCUUAUUCUCAGAUUCAUAGAUGGCACCUUCUCAUUGUGUCCACACUGGUAGAAGGAAUGAGGUACCUCUCUGGAAUCUCAUUUUAUAAGAGCACUAAUCCAAUUCAUGCAGGAUCUGUCCUUGUGAUCUGAUCAUCUCUCCAAAGCCUCACUGCCUACUCCAACACUGUCAACCUGGGAGUUCCGACUUCACAUAUGAAUUUUGGGGGGACACAACUUUAGGAGAUAGAGACUAACGGGAAGUCUUCAAGUUAUUGGGGAGUGUGCUCUUGAAGAGAAUGGAAGAACAUUAGACCAUUUUCUGUUUUUUCAUUUCCUGGCCAAGAAGUGAACAUUUUGCUCUGCUUCAUGCUCCUGCUGUCGUGUACUGCCUUGCCACAGGCCCCAAAGCAAUGGACUCAGCCAGUUAUGGACUGGAACUCCAAAACUGUGAGUUCAAAUAAACCUGUUUUAUUUAUCAGCUGA